CCUACGGGAGGCAGCAGUGGGGAAUAUUGCACAAUGGGGGAACCCCUGAUGCAGCGACGCCGCGUGAGUGAAGAAGUAUUUCGGUAUGUAAAGCUCUAUCAGCAGGGCAGAAAAUGACGGUACCUGCUUAAGAAGCCCCGGCUAACUACGUGCCAGCAGCCGCGGUAAUACGUAGGGGGCAAGCGUUAUCCGGAUUUACUGGGUGUAAAGGGUGCGUAGACGGUGAUGCAAGUCAGAAGUGAAAGCCCGGGGCUCAACUCCGGGACUGCUUUUGAAACUGUGUGACUGGAGUGCAGGAGAGGUAAGCGGAAUUCCUGGGGUAGCGGUGAAAUGCGUAGAUAUUAGGAGGAACACCAGUGGCGAAGGCGGCUUACUGGACUGUAACUGACGUUGAGGCUCGAAAGCGUGGGGAGCAAACAGGAUUAGAUACCCGGGUAGUC
This 440-nucleotide ribosomal RNA is filed under the name uncultured bacterium. RNAcentral's name for it is "partial 16S ribosomal RNA". It matches the Rfam family "Bacterial small subunit ribosomal RNA", at positions 338 to 795 of the family's 1533-position model. The record is from RNAcentral.